This 839-nucleotide ribosomal RNA is filed under the name uncultured Mycobacterium sp. RNAcentral describes it as "bacterial SSU rRNA". It matches the Rfam family "Bacterial small subunit ribosomal RNA", at positions 136 to 987 of the family's 1533-position model. Lineage: Bacteria; Bacillati; Actinomycetota; Actinomycetes; Mycobacteriales; Mycobacteriaceae. The record is from RNAcentral.
CUUUGGGAUAAGCCUGGGAAACUGGGUCUAAUAGCGGAUAGGACCACAUGCUGCAUGGUGUGUGGUGGAAAGCUUUUGCGGUGUGGGAUGGGCCCGCGGCCUAUCAGCUUGUUGGUGGGGUGAUGGCCUACCAAGGCGACGACGGGUAGCCGGCCUGAGAGGGUGUCCGGCCACACUGGGACUGAGAUACGGCCCAGACUCCUACGGGAGGCAGCAGUGGGGAAUAUUGCACAAUGGGCGCAAGCCUGAUGCAGCGACGCCGCGUGGGGGAUGACGGCCUUCGGGUUGUAAACCUCUUUCAGUACCGACGAAGCGUAAGUGACGGUAGGUACAGAAGAAGCACCGGCCAACUACGUGCCAGCAGCCGCGGUAAUACGUAGGGUGCGAGCGUUGUCCGGAAUUACUGGGCGUAAAGAGCUCGUAGGUGGUUUGUCGCGUUGUUCGUGAAAACUCACAGCUUAACUGUGGGCGUGCGGGCGAUACGGGCAGACUGGAGUACUGCAGGGGAGACUGGAAUUCCUGGUGUAGCGGUGGAAUGCGCAGAUAUCAGGAGGAACACCGGUGGCGAAGGCGGGUCUCUGGGCAGUAACUGACGCUGAGGAGCGAAAGCGUGGGGAGCGAACAGGAUUAGAUACCCUGGUAGUCCACGCCGUAAACGGUGGGUACUAGGUGUGGGUUUCCUUCCUUGGGAUCCGUGCCGUAGCUAACGCAUUAAGUACCCCGCCUGGGGAGUACGGCCGCAAGGCUAAAACUCAAAGGAAUUGACGGGGGCCCGCACAAGCGGCGGAGCAUGUGGAUUAAUUCGAUGCAACGCGAAGAACCUUACCUGGGUUUGACAU